This 72-nucleotide transfer RNA is filed under the name Dipodomys ordii (Ord's kangaroo rat). It matches the Rfam family "tRNA". From Rfam's summary of the family: Transfer RNA (tRNA) molecules are approximately 80 nucleotides in length. Their secondary structure includes four short double-helical elements and three loops (D, anti-codon, and T loops). The record is from Rfam by way of RNAcentral. Lineage: Eukaryota; Metazoa; Chordata; Mammalia; Rodentia; Heteromyidae.
GGGAAGGUGGCUCAGCGGUAGAGUGCUUGCUUGGCAUGCAUGAAGCCCGAGGUUCCAUUCCUCAGCACCUCA